AUUAUAUUCUGGACCAGUUUAAGGCUGUGAUAGUCAAAACUGAGUUUAAAAUGGCAGAGAUUCAUGAUGGAUAUCGCUACAUUAUUCAACGUCGGCGAAAUAAUAAUAUAUUUUUCAUGUGUGCGGCAAGGAUUCCAACACUUUGUACUGGGCGAGGAAUUAAAACGGG
This is a long non-coding RNA of Cotesia glomerata, 169 nucleotides long. RefSeq lists it as uncharacterized. The record is from RefSeq and is a predicted model, not a curated record. The transcript has 3 exons. Lineage: Eukaryota; Metazoa; Arthropoda; Insecta; Hymenoptera; Braconidae.